CAGUCGCCGCGGGAAUACGGAGGGUGCAAGCGUUAUCCGGAUUCACUGGGUUUAAAGGGUGCGUAGGCGGAUCUGCAAGUCAGUGGUGAAAUCUCCAGGCUUAACCUGGAAACUGCCGUUGAUACUAUAGGUCUUGAAUUUUGUGGAGGUUAGCGGAAUAUGUCAUGUAGCGGUGAAAUGCAUAGAUAUGACAUAGAACACCAAUUGCGAAGGCAGCUGGCUACACAACUAUUGACGCUGAGGCACGAAAGCGUGGGGAUCAAACAGGAUUAGAUACCCCCGUAGUCCCUGUCUCUUAUAC
RNAcentral lists this ribosomal RNA (301 nucleotides) under uncultured bacterium. RNAcentral describes it as "partial 16S ribosomal RNA". It matches the Rfam family "Bacterial small subunit ribosomal RNA", at positions 509 to 807 of the family's 1533-position model. The record is from RNAcentral.